AUUUCCUUGGGAAAAGGUGGAGAGCAACACUUGGACCCUCCUUUUGAAAAUCUGCCUUUUAAAAUCCCCAUUGGCCCUUUACGUCGGAGCCAUCGCGCUGGUUUCGGAAGACGCAGGCUGGUGUGCAGCCCCGCGUGCCCAGGGCCUUUUCUGCUCGUGCAGCUCCGCAAUUGUAACAAAUACUUUUUCCAUAAGAUGUCAGUGUGGCACAGGAUUUAAAUAUUUGUUUGCUGGUUGUGCAAGUGAUCCAUCAGCGGAAAAUGAUGGAAAGCCAUAUUCUGGGCUGUCAGCAAGUUUCAGCUUAUUUACAGCUGACAGUAUUAAUUUCUUCAUUUGCGGGGAGGAGGAGGAGCUGCUGCACUSAUCCGGCACCAAGAAAAGACGAUCCCUCGCCCGCAGUGUUUAUACUCCAGUGAAUGUUUUCAGAGCUCAUGCGGUGUCCAGCAAGCCGGGGGRCUGUGCUUUCCAAUAGCAACAGAUGACAGAGAUGAAAAUAUAAUAGCAGCUGAAUUCCUCCUUUACCACAAAAAGAGCAGAGCUCCAGCAAAGAGCCGUCUCCUGCUCCGAGCGUAUUGUCUCASAGGCAAAGCACGUAUCACUUAGCUAACGUGAACUGCCAGGAAGCAAUACUCAUUGUCACGGCCUUGAAAUGAUGAAGGAAGAGAUUAUGGAGAGACGUAUUUCUGGCCUAGGAGCAGCCUGCACUUAACAGCUAUCAGCGCACAAGUGCCAAAAGGAAAACGUUCACCUCCCUGGUGCCAGCGGGACUCUGCGGACCCAUUCUUUGGCCUCUGCAACGUUAUAAAGUGGAAAUAAUGGCAUUUUGGAGGAUGGCCAUUUUGCUGCUAGGAACGCUGCUGCGGCGAGACCGCCAAGUUUCCACCUCUGGCGGAGGCAGGGCUUUGCCCAGACCGUGGAUGUUGAACCAGUGCCGCGAAGCAGCGGCGUGACCGUCCCUGCCAGCGCUGCCGCGUCGGGAGGCCGUUUUGCACCACGCUGCGGUGCCGGUGGCAUCUUCCCGGGCAGGCUGCUGUCACCAUGCAGCAGCGGCGAGCCUUGCUGCACCGCUCCCGCUGCGGGCUUCAUCGUCGGCUGGGGUUUCAGCACGAACUCGAGUGCCUUCCUCCGCGAGGAUGGGCCCCUUUUGCACUGAGCUGCAACGUGC
This 1165-nucleotide long non-coding RNA is filed under the name Dromaius novaehollandiae (emu). RNAcentral describes it as "lncRNA (ENSDNVG00000003477.1)". The record is from RNAcentral. Lineage: Eukaryota; Metazoa; Chordata; Aves; Casuariiformes; Dromaiidae.